GUUAUAUGGUCAAGUGAAGAAGCGCAUACGGUGGAUGCCUUGGCAGUCAGAGGCGAUGAAAGACGUGGUAGCCUGCGAUAAGCUUCGGGGAGUCGGCAAACAGACUUUGAUCCGGAGAUCUCUGAAUGGGGGAACCCACCUAGGAUAACCUAGGUAUCUUGUACUGAAUCCAUAGGUGCAAGAGGCGAACCAGGGGAACUGAAACAUCUAAGUACCCUGAGGAAAAGAAAUCAACCGAGAUUCCCUUAGUAGUGGCGAGCGAACGGGGAUUAGCCCUUAAGCUUCUUUGAUUUUAGCGGAACGCUCUGGAAAGUGCGGCCAUAGUGGGUGAUAGCCCUGUACGCGAAAAGGUCUUAGAAGUGAAAUCGAGUAGGACGGCGCACGUGAAACGUUGUCUGAAUAUGGGGGGACCAUCCUCCAAGGCUAAAUACUACUGACUGACCGAUAGUGAACUAGUACCGUGAGGGAAAGGCGAAAAGAACCCCGGAGAGGGGAGUGAAAUAGAACCUGAAACCGUAUGCGUACAAGCAGUGGGAGCCUACUUUGUUAGGUGACUGCGUACCUUUUGUAUAAUGGGUCAGCGACUUAUAUUCAGUGGCGAGCUUAACCGAAUAGGGGAGGCGUAGCGAAAGCGAGUCUUAAUAGGGCGCUUUAGUCGCUGGGUAUAGACCCGAAACCGGGCGAUCUAUCCAUGGGCAGGUUGAAGGUUAGGUAACACUGACUGGAGGACCGAACCGACUACCGUUGAAAAGUUAGCGGAUGACCUGUGGAUCGGAGUGAAAGGCUAAUCAAGCUCGGAGAUAGCUGGUUCUCCUCGAAAGCUAUUUAGGUAGCGCCUCACGUAUCACUCCAGGGGGUAGAGCACUGUUUCGGCUAGGGGGUCAUCCCGACUUACCAAACCGAUGCAAACUCCGAAUACCUGGAAGUGCCGAGCGUGGGAGACACACGGCGGGUGCUAACGUCCGUCGUGAAAAGGGAAACAACCCAGACCGUCAGCUAAGGUCCCAAAGUUAUGGUUAAGUGGGAAACGAUGUGGGAAGGCUUAGACAGCUAGGAGGUUGGCUUAGAAGCAGCCACCCUUUAAAGAAAGCGUAAUAGCUCACUAGUCGAGUCGGCCUGCGCGGAAGAUGUAACGGGGCUCAAACCAUACACCGAAGCUACGGGUGUCACGUAAGUGACGCGGUAGAGGAGCGUUCUGUAAGCCUGUGAAGGUGAGUUGAGAAGCUUGCUGGAGGUAUCAGAAGUGCGAAUGCUGACAUGAGUAACGACAAUGCGAGUGAAAAACUCGCACGCCGAAAGACCAAGGUUUCCUGCGCAACGUUAAUCGACGCAGGGUUAGUCGGCCCCUAAGGCGAGGCAGAAAUGCGUAGUCGAUGGGAAGCGGGUUAAUAUUCCCGCACUUCUAGUUACUGCGAUGGGGGGACGGAGAAGGCUAGGCCAGCACGGCGUUGGUUGUCCGUGUUUAAGGUGGUAGGCAGAGAUCUUAGGUAAAUCCGGGAUCUUAAUGCCGAGAGCUGAUGACGAGUGUCCUUUAGGACGCGAAGUGGUUGAUGCCAUGCUUCCAGGAAAAGCCUCUAAGCUUCAGGUAACUAGGAACCGUACCCCAAACCGACACAGGUGGUUGGGUAGAGAAUACCAAGGCGCUUGAGAGAACUCGGGUG
RNAcentral lists this ribosomal RNA (1661 nucleotides) under Salmonella enterica subsp. enterica. RNAcentral's name for it is "partial 23S ribosomal RNA". It matches the Rfam family "Bacterial large subunit ribosomal RNA", at positions 1 to 1706 of the family's 2925-position model. The record is from RNAcentral. Lineage: Bacteria; Pseudomonadati; Pseudomonadota; Gammaproteobacteria; Enterobacterales; Enterobacteriaceae.